GAGCAAUCGAGAGCCGAGCAUAGAGCGGCGCCCCGGCUCUGCGAACUCUUGGCUUCGCUAGGGGCCUCCUGCACACCCCGCAGGCGACAGCGUUAGACCACCCCCGAUUCAAAUUCUAGGAGUCCCGGCCCAAACUGGCCCCGGCACCUUACCAGGGUGGAGGGUAGGGGUUCCAUGCCUCAGUCAGUUCAGUACCAACCUCACCCCGGGUGGGGUCUGGCUACCGUACUGACCCCUCUCCCACAGACGUCCCUUCUGAGCCCCUGACUGACCCAGAAGCUUUGCCCAAUACCGGCUUCGCCUAAACGCAGCCUCUCAUUGCUCCUUUGGCAGGGCAGGCGCCACCAGGAGACCGCCUCGUUGGGCAGCUUCAGAGGCGCGGGGUUCCUAUCCAUGGAGUUUUUGUCUGAGGAUCCAUUAUUAAACGCUGUAGUCGCGGUCACCUGGUUUCACCUUGACGCUGUGGGGCAACUGAUCAGGCUCGGAUUUUUAUUAUUAUUAUUAUUUUGAUACAGAGUCUCUGUCUAUCGCCCAGGCUGGAGUGCAGUGGCGCGAUCUCGGCUCACUGCAACCUUACCAGAUUCAAGCGAUUCUCCUGCCUCAGCCUCCUGAGAGGAUUACAGGCGUGAGCCACCGCGCCUGGCCCCAUGUAAUCUUUGUGAUCACUUUUACACCCAAGUUUCUGGGCCAGUAAUACAGGAUUCCUUCUGCCCACAUUACUAGGGAAAUAAAUGAUAGAAUGAAGUCUUGCGUUGGGAAUAGUUAAGCAAUUGUGCAAGACGCAUUUUCACUUCUUCCUUGGGUAAAAAAGGCAAGACCUCCCAGAAACUCCUAGAGAGAAUGUACCACUGAAUUAGAAAAUGGAGUUCUUGCCGUAAUGAACUUUGGAGUGAGAAGAAAUUCAAUUCAUGGAUACCAGAAGCAAAAAAAAAAAAAUUCUACUUUUAAGAAAUCAAUGGCCAUCAUUAAAAAAGCAGGAAACAACAGAUGCUGGAGAGGAUAUGGAGAAAUAGGAACACUUUUACACUGUUGGUGGGAUUGUAAACUAGUUCAACCAUUGUGGAAGUCAGUGUGGCGAUUCCUCCGGGAUCUAGAACUAGAAAUACCAUUUGACCCAGCCAUCCCAUUACUGGGUAUAUACCCAAAGGACUAUAAAUCAUGCUGCUAUAAAGACACAUGCACACAUAUGUUUACUGCGGCACUAUUCACAAUAGCAAAGAGUUGGAACCAACCCAAAUGUCCAACAACGAUAGACUGGAUUAAGAAAAUGUGGCACAUAUACACCAUGGAAUACUAUGCAGCCAUAAAAAAUGAUGAGUUCGUGUCCUUUGUAGGGACAUGGAUGAAACUGGAAAACAUCAUUCUCAGUAAACUAUUGCAAGGACAAAAAACCAAACACCGCAUGUUCUCACUUAUAGGUGGGAAGUGAACAAUGAGAACUCAUGGACACAGGAAGGGGAACAUCACACUCCGGGGACUGUUGUGGGGUUGGGGGAGGGGGGAGGGACAGCAUUAGGAAAUAUAUCUAAUGCUAAAUGACGAGUUAAUGGGUGCAGGAAAUCAACAUGGCACAUGGAUACAUAUGUAACAAACCUGCUCAUUGUGCACAUGUACCCUAAAACCUAAAGUAUAAUAAAAAAAAAAAGAAA
Long non-coding RNA from Symphalangus syndactylus (siamang), 1649 nucleotides. RefSeq lists it as uncharacterized. The record is from RefSeq and is a predicted model, not a curated record. Lineage: Eukaryota; Metazoa; Chordata; Mammalia; Primates; Hylobatidae.